AAGGUCCUGUCUACAGCGGGAUAUCCUUUCGAAGAGUUGAAGGCAAGUGCUAAGAAAUGGGAUGGACUGAGUCAGGCUCAUGAGCGCUCAUUGAGAAGCUGCAAGCUAAGAAGCGGAAACACACAGCAGAAUGCACAUCGCUAGGGAUCUGGAACUAUGAAAAUUUCAAUGAUGCCGAAAGCUGAUCCAGACAGCAUAACUUUGCAGACUGAAUCUCACAACAGAAUACAAGAAGAAUACACAUGGAUUGGUUGCAAAGGGAAUAGAAAUAGAAUAAAAGAUUUUCUUUGUGAUGAUUGGAAUUCAGUUCAGCUGAUGAUUACCAAAAUAUGGAAUGGUUUUCCAGGGGAGAUUGUUGGAGCAGUCAAUUGAACAACAACAACA
Callorhinchus milii (elephant shark) is the source of this 384-nucleotide long non-coding RNA. RefSeq lists it as uncharacterized. NCBI's taxonomy places the organism in Eukaryota, Metazoa, Chordata, Chondrichthyes, Chimaeriformes, Callorhinchidae. The transcript has 4 exons. The record is from RefSeq and is a predicted model, not a curated record.